UGAGUAGAUGUGAAGGCAAUCUGUCAUACCCAUCUGGUCUCCGGGGUUGAUCCUGCUGGUGUGGCCGGGCUGGGCAGCUGUCCCCUUCCUCUCUGAUCAGUGUGUGUCCCUCCCAAAACUAUGCUCAGACAGAGAGGACGGCCCUCCCCAACAGACAAGGACUGCUCUCAGCCAAGAGCACACCAGCAGCUGUGCCCCUGUGCUGGAAACUGCUCUUGCUCUGACUUAGAAAUCUUUUUAAGUUGCAUUUAUUCCGUAUGUUUGUGUGUGUGAAUGUGCAUACAUGCAUGCCAUG
Unclassified non-coding RNA from Cricetulus griseus (Chinese hamster), 295 nucleotides. Its record names the gene 7SK. It matches the Rfam family "7SK RNA". From Rfam's summary of the family: 7SK was discovered as an abundant small nuclear RNA in the mid-70s but a possible function has only recently been suggested. NCBI's taxonomy places the organism in Eukaryota, Metazoa, Chordata, Mammalia, Rodentia, Cricetidae. The record is from Ensembl.